This 406-nucleotide ribosomal RNA is filed under the name uncultured bacterium. Its description in RNAcentral is "partial 16S ribosomal RNA". It matches the Rfam family "Bacterial small subunit ribosomal RNA", at positions 28 to 526 of the family's 1533-position model. The record is from RNAcentral.
GAUUAACGCUGGCGGCGUGCCUAACACAUGCAAGUCGAACGAAGUGGCGGACUGGUGAGUAACGCGUGAGUAACCUGCCUUAGAGAAGGGGAUAGCCUUUGGAAACGAAGAAUAAUACCCUAUGCUCUAAAAUUGACUUGCGUCUGUUUAGUUAGUUGGUGGGGUAACGGCCUACCAAGAAAGCGAUCAGUAGCCGGCUUGGGAGAGUGUACGGCCACAUUGGGACUGAGACACGGCCCAGACUCGACGGGAGGCAGCAGUGGGGAAUUGUGCACAAUGGGGGAAACCCUGAUGCAGCGGCGCCGCGUGAUUUAGAAGGCCUUCGGGUUGUAAAAAUCUUUUCUAUGGGAAGCAGUACCAUAGGAAUAAGGACCGGCUAAUUACGUGCCAGCAGCCGCGGUAAUAC